GAGCAGCUCAAGUGCAUGAACAAAAGCAUCGGGAACCUGCAGAUUGACCUGAGCUACAGGCUGCGGCUCAUUGCUCUGCUGGAGGUGCUCAGCCAGAAGCGCAUGUACGAUGUGGACAGAUGGACACUGAGCCAAACAACACCCCAACCCACGGCCACCACUGGGACCCUGCCCUCAACGUGGACAGAGAGGUCAUUGGAGGAGCGAUUGUCCUUCUUUGCCACAUCAGGGUAGGCCAGUCUCCUCCCUGACCCCAUCCACUUUGCUGGAGUCUAUCACCAAUCUUCUGGGCCUGGCAGCCAAAGACUGAUGGGGCCCUGGUUCCUCAGCCCCCAUCUCAACCAUAACAAUCACUCUGGAGGAGCCCAGGGUAGUGAUUACAGUAGCUGCUGGAUAUAAAAAGACUGCCAAACGUGAUGGAUGGGGAAUGCGCUAACACCAAUGGAUACCAGAAAAAUGGCAGCCUGAGAGGAACCCUUCCAGAUCCAGCCUCAUCAAACCCCCUCCCCCUUUACUCAUUGACCUUACCCAGCAGGAAUUAGUCAGACGAGAAACGCCAUCCCCAAUCCUAUAACAUAAAAGGCUGGAAUGAUAGGGUUCAGAUCCAGGCGACCCCAGACCCAGAAACCGCAAGGCCCCUAAAAGGAACUGAGUCAACCACCUCCCAGCCACCUGCAAAAUAACAAAACAGCUCUGGGAAAUUAAUGACUAGUGUAUUGUGAUCACCAGAGUAUGCUCCACAGGCUGACAAACAGGUUUCCCAAGCCCUUAGCUGCAAUUAAUUCCUGGAACCCCAUAAUUGUAGAAAACAUGUUUUACAGUAGAUGUUUUCCUCAAUAAAUUUCACCAAGUACAGACCCCCACACUCUCCCUGAGCAAGCAGCCCCCCAAACAGUCCCAAACAGCAGAAAAAUAUUCUUUUUCUGCAUUCUGUCCUUUAUAAGCUACCCCUCUGUAGUCAUUAGGCUGCUGGUUCUUCCUUACACCCAAGUUGAGGACCAGCCCUGCAAAAGCCAAUUAAACUUUUGCUUUGCCAGAGUCUUCUUUGUUUCUGUUUUGAGGCAAUCCUGACCCCUGCCACCUUUUUAUCCAACAGGGCCCAGCUUCUAAGAAAGAAAUAGAUCAUCCUCAAGAUGUCAGGAAGGUAUAUCAAGACAAAAGACAUUCAUGCUUAGUAGGAUCCCUCCCUGCAGAUGUGUUGAAAGACCUGAGCUAAUUACCUUAGAGUAUAAGACUCUCCUGUUCUUGUGAACAUGUUAGGCUUGGGGUUCCCAAAGUCACAGGGCCUCAACUGUACUGUUUCUCAAAAUAGGAAGAAGUCGAGAGUAGGAGAUGGUUCAGUGGAAUGACUGUUAAGGGAGGGUUACACUCCAAGAACAUCUUUGCACUCUGGCUAACCUCAGUUUGUUGAUGGUCCCCAACUAGUGGCCUGUGUUCUGGUCUCCCUGGUAUGAGCUCAGAAGCAUUAAUUUUUUAAAAUGGCUUUAGUGAGUCUAAUUCACAUAUAGUAAAGGAUAUUUUAUUAUGAAUGUGCUGCCUUACAAGCUUUAACCCCAGCCUCAGAUACAUACAUAUUCACACAGAAGGGUACCUACAUUAGCAGUAUCAGGACAGAACGUAGACCUAUAUCACAGCCUCCAGAGUUUCUUUGUCCUUUUUUUUUUUUUAAAACUAGUUCUCCU
Long non-coding RNA from Nannospalax galili (Upper Galilee mountains blind mole rat), 1682 nucleotides. RefSeq lists it as uncharacterized. NCBI's taxonomy places the organism in Eukaryota, Metazoa, Chordata, Mammalia, Rodentia, Spalacidae. The transcript is spliced from 3 exons. The record is from RefSeq and is a predicted model, not a curated record.